This 1114-nucleotide long non-coding RNA is filed under the name Ornithorhynchus anatinus (platypus). Its description in RNAcentral is "lncRNA (ENSOANG00000047438.1)". Lineage: Eukaryota; Metazoa; Chordata; Mammalia; Monotremata; Ornithorhynchidae. The record is from RNAcentral.
UGGUGGUCAUCCUCACACCAGGUCCACACCUGGAGCACUGAACCAGGAGCAAUCAACAAAGAUGCUGUCUGAAUGUCACCUUCAUUUCUGAGCCCAUCAUUAUUGUUUCCCAGCCCUUCAUCAGUGUAGAAGUCAAUGAUGGUGGUAAGGCAGGACUGAUAUGAAAUGGGGACAAUUUGUCAAUACCUAUUCUUAUUCUUUAAACCCACUGUCACAUCUGUGAGGGACAGACCUGCAGAUAUUCUGAUCGAUUCCCUAUCAAAUUAACUCUCUGUUUUAUGUCAUAUCUCAUUGUCUGCCUCUUCGUUUCAUUCUCUGUCCUUUUCUUUCUCUGUCCUCUGCCUUGUCCCAUUCUCUCGUUUCCCCAGAUCACUCUGCCAGAAACCACUUCCGAAUGCAUCUGAAAAUUUAAGACAAUGGAUGCCACAGAACUCUCAUUUGGGAUCGUGAAUGUGCUCCAGAGCUUCCCUUCAACCUGAGCUGGUCUUAAUCCGCUGGACAAGAAUCCUGGCUUCGUCCCUCAGCCUCUGGAGCAUGGACCAGCCUGUGAAUACUGUUUCCUUUCUCCAUCGGAGAAUCCCUCAUUGCUGUGUUGCUAAGCAGCAUGGAGGUGACUUGAGGGGAACUGGAGGGGUGGUGAGUCAGUGUUACUGCCAGGAAGAUGCAUUUGGAUUGGCUGGAGAAUGGUUUCAAGCACAGACCAAUCUGUUUAGAUGGUCCUGUGGGAUACUCGGGUCCCGGAACACUGCUGAAGAAAUAAGGUGGACAUAGGAACUAAACUGAAAUUUACAGGAGUAUAUUUAUUGACAAUACAACAUCUUUUCCCCACUGAACCAAGUGAUACUGGCAGUGUCCAAAGUAUGGUUUGAAGUCCACCCAGGGGGACCUCUUGCAACACCAGUCCUAGAAUCCUGCACAUCAUUGCAUCUGCAGUGGGGCAACAACUGUCCAUCAAGAAUAGCCACUGGCCAAUCAGAAAGCUCAUAGGAGGAAGCAAUGAUGGUCCAAUUACUCUACCAUUGCUGAUCCCCAACAGAAUAUUUUCCAGUCUUUCCUUUUGGCAUUUGGAAAAAAUGCUGGUGAUUAUGCCAAUAUCACCAAUAAAGAGUAAGAA